GCUUACGGCCAUACCUCUCUGGCUCCGCCUGAUCUCGUCUGAUCUCAGAAGCUAAGCAGAGUAGGGCCUGGUUAGUACUUGGAUGGAAGACUGCGCGUGGGAAUCCCAGGUGCCGUAAGCU
Gasterosteus aculeatus aculeatus (three-spined stickleback) is the source of this 121-nucleotide ribosomal RNA. NCBI's taxonomy places the organism in Eukaryota, Metazoa, Chordata, Actinopteri, Perciformes, Gasterosteidae. The record is from Ensembl.